GAUGAACGCUGGCGGCGUGCCUAAUACAUGCAAGUCGAGCGAACAGACGAGGAGCUUGCUCCUCUGACGUUAGCGGCGGACGGGUGAGUAACACGUGGAUAACCUACCUAUAAGACUGGGAUAACUUCGGGAAACCGGAGCUAAUACCGGAUAAUAUAUUGAACCGCAUGGUUCAAUAGUGAAAGACGGUUUUGCUGUCACUUAUAGAUGGAUCCGCGCCGCAUUAGCUAGUUGGUAAGGUAACGGCUUACCAAGGCAACGAUGCGUAGCCGACCUGAGAGGGUGAUCGGCCACACUGGAACUGAGACACGGUCCAGACUCCUACGGGAGGCAGCAGUAGGGAAUCUUCCGCAAUGGGCGAAAGCCUGACGGAGCAACGCCGCGUGAGUGAUGAAGGUCUUCGGAUCGUAAAACUCUGUUAUUAGGGAAGAACAAAUGUGUAAGUAACUAUGCACGUCUUGACGGGACCUAUCAGAAAGCCACGGCUAACUACGUG
This 496-nucleotide ribosomal RNA is filed under the name uncultured bacterium. RNAcentral describes it as "partial 16S ribosomal RNA". It matches the Rfam family "Bacterial small subunit ribosomal RNA", at positions 28 to 507 of the family's 1533-position model. The record is from RNAcentral.